UGUAGCUCUCUCUGGUUCAGAGAAAAGUGCUGCGCUUUUCCAGAGUUGAGAGAUCUGAUUUCAUAGAUUUUUAAGACCAGAAGAAAACAGAAUGUUCAUCUGUUCUGUGAUGAAAUACUAUCCCUCUAAGCACCAGGCACAGAUAUUACCCUGACUUUGAGGCUUAUAAAGUUGAGUUUAUUCAGCUUAUUAUUUAAGUUAUUUUCAUAUCUGCUUCCCUACCAACAGAAAAAAUUCUCAAGUCAAAACUAUUUUUUCAUUUCAUAUUGCCUUAUCAAUAUGUUUGGUUUUGGGGUGACAGGAAAUGUAACUCGGAUUCUUGUAUUUAUAAAUAUUCAUAGAGGUGAGAGGAUUAAGCAGUUAGAGUAUUGUUUGAAAGAAAAUUUAGAUCCCCUUUGCAAACACCAUCAUGGUGAUAGAAAAUCAUUCUUUUCCCUGUAAUAAUCUACUUUAAAAACAUCCUCUUUGCAUUACUUCCAGCUAUCAGAAUCAGCCAGUAAAGUAUAGCCUGAAUUCUGAUAAAGGGCAAUUGCAGUAAAUGGAGAAACAAGCAUAAAUUAUAUCAGCAGUGAGCCCAAGAAAGAACUGCAGAGAUAAGAGAAGAUGAGCUUUUUGAAUCAUUUAUUUCACCUUAAAUUCUACUUGUAAUAAAAUAAAAACAAUUAAUUAUAAAUAAUCAUGUUUAUAAAGAACAAGUAAUUUCUAUGCCUUGUCCUUCCAUCCUUAUUGAAAGUUCCCACCAGCCAGGGGCAGCAGUUGACUUCACACCAUUUCAUCCACUGGACACAUCGCUGGAUCUAUCUCAUGUGACUUUGGACCCCAUUCAAUUCCUAAAGUUCAGCUGUGUGUAUCAGGAAUAUCCCAUCCUCUCUGCAAGCAGUCUUAUUUGAGGCUAUUGAACUGUCUUCACAAACAAGGAUCUGCACAGUCACAUUGUGUACCCACUGAGAAAGCUCAUAUGGACAGCAGGGAAGUCACUGCACUCCCCAGAGCACAGUUCUCCCAGGAGUCUCGUGUCUAGGAGAAGUUGUUUUAUGAAAGAAGAGCAAAUUUUACCAUUAAAAUAAUAUAAAAUAUUAACAUUAAAUAAAAACAUCUAUAAGCUGU
Long non-coding RNA from Zonotrichia leucophrys gambelii, 1107 nucleotides. RefSeq lists it as uncharacterized. The transcript has 2 exons. The record is from RefSeq and is a predicted model, not a curated record. Lineage: Eukaryota; Metazoa; Chordata; Aves; Passeriformes; Passerellidae.